GUAGUCCACGCUGUAAACGAUGGGUGCUAGCUGUUGGGAGGUUACCUCUCGGUGGCGUAGCUAACGCGUUAAGCACCCCGCCUGGGGAGUACGGUCGCAAGAUUAAAACUCAAAGAAAUUGACGGGGACCCGCACAAGCGGUGGAACAUGUGGUUUAAUUCGAGGCAACGCGAAGAACCUUACCAGGACUCGACUUGCCCUCCAACGGCCCCCGAAAAGGGGCCUUCACUUCGGGUGGGAGGAGCACAGGUGCUGCAUGGCUGUCGUCAGCUCGUGUCGUGAGAUGUUGGGUUAAGUCCCGCAACGAGCGCAACCCUCAUCCUCUGUUGCUAACAGGUAAUGCUGAGAACUCUGAGGAAACUGCCGGUGAUAAGCCGGA
This 379-nucleotide ribosomal RNA is filed under the name uncultured bacterium. RNAcentral's name for it is "bacterial SSU rRNA". It matches the Rfam family "Bacterial small subunit ribosomal RNA", at positions 790 to 1167 of the family's 1533-position model. The record is from RNAcentral.